AUGGCUGGAUUCGCUGAUUCAUUGAGGCCGGAUAAGUUUACCGGUGUGCACUUUAAGAGGUGGCAGGUGAAGACCACGCUCUGGCUUACUGCUUUGGAAGUUUUCCACGCUAGUGUUGGUGCUCCAGAGGGAAUGACCGACGAAGAUCAAAGAAAAUUCCAGGAAACCAAUACUAUGUUUGUGGGAUGCAUUCUGAGUGUUCUUGCUGACCGUCUGUGUGAUGUGUACAUGCACAUAGCCGACGGAAAAAUUCUGUGGGAUGCACUGAAUGCAAAAUUCGGUGCAACAGAUGCAGGCAGUGAAUUGUACAUCAUGGAGAGUUUUCAUGACUACAAGAUGGUGAAUAACCGUUCUGUGGUUGAACAAGCUCAUGAGAUACAGUGCAUUGUGAAGGAACUUGAACUCCUUAAAUGUGUUCUACCCGACAAAUUCGUGGCUGGGUGCAUGAUUGCAAAGUUGCCUCCUUCAUGGAGGAAUUUCGCCACAACUCUGAAGCAUAAGAGACAAGAGAUAUCAGUUGAAAAUCUGAUUGCAUCUCUUGAUGUUGAAGAAAAAGCUCGGGCUAAAGAUACCACUGAAAAAGGAGGUGAGGUUCAUCCUACUGCUAACAUGGUGCAGAGGUACCCACAGAACAAGAACAAAGUGAAGAACAAAUCUGUUUUCAACAAGCCUACCAAGACUACUACCUUCAAGAAGAAGAAGUUCAACAAGGCUGAGCUAGAGUGCUACGUCGCAAGGGAUUCUUCCGUCCUAAUGGGGAAUGGGUCACAUGCUUCUGUUCGUGGCAUUGGCACGGUGGAUCUGAAGUUUACUUCGGGAAAGAUCGUGCAACUAAGGAACGUGCAGCAUGUCCCUACUAUGAACAAGAAUCUAGUUAGCGGCUCCCUUCUAUGUCGAGAUGGAUUUAAGGUAGUUUUAGAGUCCAAUAAAGUAAUCGUGUCAAGAUUUGGACAAUUUAUAGGAAAAGGCUAUGAGUGCGGAGGCUUGUUCCGCUUUUCUCUUUUAGAUUUUUGCAAUAAGUCAAUAAACCAAAUUUGUGCUAGUGUUAAUGAUGAUGCAAGUAUUUGGCACUCUCGUUUAUGUCAUAUUAAUUUUGGUUUAAUGUCUCGGCUAUCCAGCAUGAGUUUAAUUGCGAACUUCACAGUUGCCAAAGGUUCUAAGUGCCAUAGUUGUGUGCAAUCUAAGCAACCUCGAAAGCCUCAUAAGGCUGCCGAGCAGAGAAACUUGGCACCUCUAGAACUCAUACAUUCUGAUCUUUGUGAGAUGAAUGGUGUGUUGACAAAAGGUGGAAAGAAAUAUUUCAUGACUUUGAUUGAUGAUGCGACUAGAUUUUGCUAUGUUUAUUUGUUGCAAACUAAAGAUGAAGCAUUAGACUACUUUAAAAUCUAUAAAGCUGAAGUUGAAAAUCAACUAGAGAGAAAGAUCAAGCGUCUUAGGUCCGAUCGUGGUGGAGAGUAUUUUCCAAAAGUUUUUGAUGAAUUUUGUGAGGAACAUGGUAUUAUUCAUGAGAGGACGCCUCCCUAUUCACCUCAAUCAAAUGGAGUGGCCGAGAGGAAAAACCGCACAUUGACUGACUUGGUGAAUGCCAUGUUAGACACUGCUGGUUUAUCUAAGGCAUGGUGUGGGGAGGCUCUAUUGACUUCAUGUCAUGUCCUGAAUAGAGUUCCUAACAAUAAUAAAGAGUAA
Molecule: ribosomal RNA, 1686 nt
Filed under: Triticum aestivum (bread wheat)
Lineage: Eukaryota; Viridiplantae; Streptophyta; Magnoliopsida; Poales; Poaceae
Description: partial small subunit ribosomal RNA
Source: RNAcentral